AUGAGAGAAAUUAAAAGAAAGAAACAGUAUGAUGAGAACCCAAACGACACAAAUAUUGCCACACGGUCUGCAGAGGAAUCAUUUAGAAUCAACUAUUUUACACCAAUAGUCGAUCAAGCAAUUUCCUCACUCACAAGGAGAUUUGAGCAAUAUCAAGGUUACCAGAAAAAUUUUGGUUUCUUAUUUACCUCUGAAACAUUGCGUUCAUUGGAUAAGGAUAGUUUGAAAUCUUCUUGUGUUAAUCUUGAGGCUGCCCUUAUGAAGGAUAAACAAUCUGAUAUUGAUGCCAAUGAUCUAUUUGUUGAGUUGAAGUUCCUUCAAAAUUUCAUGCCAAAAGAAAAUAUCGGACCUGUUGAAAUUCUGAAUUUUUUAAAGCGGCAUGACUGUUUUCCCAAUGCAAGUAUUGCAUAUAGAGUUCUAUUGACCAUUCCUGUGACAGUUGCAUCGGCAGAAAGAAGUUUUUCUAAGUUGAAGCUAUUGAAGUCCUAUAUGCGUACUACUAUGACACAACAAAGACUCAAUGAUUUGACCACAAUAGCACUUGAGAGUGAAGUCUUGGAGAAGAUUGAUUACGAGGAUAUCAUUGAAGAUUUCAUAUCAAAGAAUACUAAAAGAAUGAAGUUUUUCAAAUAA
Molecule: ribosomal RNA, 633 nt
Filed under: Triticum aestivum (bread wheat)
Lineage: Eukaryota; Viridiplantae; Streptophyta; Magnoliopsida; Poales; Poaceae
Description: partial small subunit ribosomal RNA
Source: RNAcentral